Molecule: long non-coding RNA, 2062 nt
Filed under: Bemisia tabaci
Lineage: Eukaryota; Metazoa; Arthropoda; Insecta; Hemiptera; Aleyrodidae
Description: lncRNA ENSSSA1NGG006391
Source: RNAcentral
GUUGAGUAAUUGCAGAAAUUCUGCAGGAAGGAUAAGCUCUUGCUGAACGCAAAUGUUGUGCUCGUGAUAAUGAAAGGGUUUAAUACCUUUCUGUAGUGUAAAAUUAUCCAGUUUGUCAAAGGCAUUGAUUACCAUAAUUUCUUAUCAAACAUUUUUCUCAAAUUUCAGACAAAGCACAAGAGGCUGGAGACCAGAUGAAGCAACGGAAGAACUGGUAACGCACAGCAAACUCAAAUAAAACAGGGUUGGUCUUUGCUAGCAACACUGCAUUGUGUUUUACUACCUGACAAAGUUAGUAGUCCUCAGUUCAAGAAGCCACAAAUUGAAAUGAUGGCUCGACGCUGGCAACAUCACUGUUUGGAGGUAAGAGAUGCUGCUCAGGCUUUACUUUUGGCCGAAUUGACGCGGCUUGGAAGCAGGGAAGAAAAACUCUCGUUGACUACUGGGCCCAGUAUUUGCCAACGUACAAUGCCUCGGACAAUUCUCACCCACCACACCAAUGCCAGUCAUAACCCAAGUAAUUUUUUUUAUUAACAUUUUUCAGGGAUAUUUGCACGUCAUUCUGCCAACUUGUAUCUUUGACAGUUUGUUUCAUUUAUUUGAGCAUCAACAGUUUUGUUAUGUCCUCCGCCAUUGAACAGCAAUAUCAAUCAAUUUCUUCUAAUUGUACCAUGUUGUGUAGGUCGGCCCCCUUCGAGUUAACUCUGUUGGCUGUUAGUAGUGUUGCUGUCUAGUAUUAGUCAUUCGUUAGAUAGAUAGAUAGAUAGAUAGAUAUUUAUUCAAAAAAUUCAAACAUAAAAUAAAAACAACAUUGAUCUGCCCGGCAAAUUGGGAUGCCCAAUUAAACUGCCGGAUCAGACUUAAAUAAAUUUAACAAAUAAUUAUAGAAAAAAGAGAGAAAAAAAAGAAAAUAGAAAAGAGAGGGGAAAAAAUAAAAUAAAUUAAAAAAAAAAGAAAGAAAUAAAAUAAAAUAAAAUAAUAAAUAAAUAACAUGAACAUCGACAUAAAUUAAAAACAGAAAUAGACCCAAAUGAAAACUGAAAAAAGACGCAAUUAUAAAAAAAAAAAAGAAUGAAAGAAAAAGAAAAAAAAGAAAAAAAAAAUGAAAGGAAAAAAAAAUGAAAUACAUGAAUAUAUAUAUCUUUAAUACAAUUAAUAAAGAAUUUGAAAAUAUACAAUUAAUAAAGAUUAAUUAAUUAUCGUUAAUUAAUCGUUAUAUCGUUCUAAUUAAUCGUUAAAUUAUAUUUCUGCAAACACCUUUUUCUUAAUCAAGAAAGCCUUUUUCAGGGAUUCUGCAUAAUUCAAGAAACAUAUGAUUGCUUAUGAGUGAACGGAUCAGAUGAGUCAAAAAUACCUAUACUUGAUCGGUUUGAAUUUUAUACGUUCAGUUUAAACAUCUGUCCUUUUUUCACAGGGAAGCAAUAUUGAAACUGCUCACCACGAGGAGAGAUUGAAGAUGAUGAUGAAGGAGUUGAAGGUAAGCUCUUUUUGUAACCAAUAAAUUUUUUUCAGCCACUUUCUUUUUAUACUGGUGCAACUAUGUUUACCUUUAGGCCUCAAUAUCAUAUGGUGAUGAGACAGCACUUGUCACCAAAUAUAAGAUGAUUUCAGUUAAAUAUUUUGAAUAAUUUGAGUGAGACGGUAUUUAUUCUAACUGUCAUUGCCCCUAUCAGUUCAUUUCCUGUGACAUUUUUAUUUUAAAUUGUAAUUGAAUGGACCACCAGAAAAUGUGAAAAUUCAAGCAUCAUGAUUGUUGCUUUCUCAUCAGCAUUUCUUGUAGCGAACGGGAUUUGUACAAUGAAAAUCACUGGAAAUUUAAAAAAUAAUCAAUAUGUUUAUGACUCCCUUGAAACGCGUCCAAAUUUAAUAAAUAAAAGUGCAAGUGAGUCAUAAACAUGUUAUCAUUUUUUUACGUAUUAAACUUGUGCUGACUUCAAAAGUGUCUUUACAGUACUGGAAAUAUUUCCUAAACAAGAUUAACGGUAACGUUAUUAAUGUUUUUUGAUGCAUGAAUUCAAACUUCCCUUUCUUGAAGAAUAAUAUUUUACUUAGGUUGAUUCGC